Long non-coding RNA from Neopelma chrysocephalum (saffron-crested tyrant-manakin), 437 nucleotides. RefSeq lists it as uncharacterized. The record is from RefSeq and is a predicted model, not a curated record. The transcript has 4 exons. Lineage: Eukaryota; Metazoa; Chordata; Aves; Passeriformes; Pipridae.
AAAGUGAGGGGGGGGGGCCCCGGGGUGACCCCUGUGCCCCCCCCCAGGCUACACCAACCCCUUCGUGACCCCCCGACCCUCCACCAACCCCUUCCAGAGCAACGGCCCCGGUGCCGCUUUCACCACCCCGUCGGUGCCCGGGGGGUUUCCCAGCCCCUUCCAGGCUGAUGCGUCGCCUUUUGGUGGGUUCAACGUUCCCAAAGCCUCCACCAACCCCUUCGUGACGGCCCCGACGGCCCCGUUGGGCAUCAGGCACCCGACCACCAACCCCUUCCUAUAGCGGCCGCCCCGGGGCGGGGGAGCUCGGCCCGGGCCUCCCCCGAAAUCGUGGGGGGCUCCCCUCCCCACCCCUGCCUCCGCCUCCGCCAGGACCAGGUUUUAUUUUUAAUUUUGAGAGAUUUAUGGCGAGAGAUCUUAAUAUAUAUUGGAUAGAAACA